AGCCGCGGUAAUACUCGCGGUCCAAGUCGCAGCCAUCAUUAUUGGGUCUAAAACAUCCGUAGCUUGCUUAAUAAGUUUCUUGUGAAAUUCCAUGUCUCAAAUAUGGAGCGGGCAAGAAGUACUGUUAAGCUAGAGACUGGAAGACGUAAGAAGUACGUUUGGAGUAGCGGUAAAAUGUGUUAAUCCCAGACGGACUAACAACAGCGAAGGCAUCUUACGAGGACAGUUCUGACAGUAAGGGAUGAAGGCUAGGGGCGCAAAAGGGAUUAGAUACCCCUGUAGUCCUAGCAGUAAACACUGCACACUAAACAUUAGUACCUCCUCGAGAGGUGUUAGUGCUGAAGAGAAGUCGAAGAGUGUGCUACCUGGGAAGUAUAGUCGCAAGGCUGAAACUUAAAGGAAUUGGCGGGGAGACACUACAACGGGUGACGCGUGCGGUUCAAUUAGAUUCUACACCGUGAACCUCACCAGGAGCGACAGCAGGAUGAAGGUCAGUCUGAAGGGCUUACCUGACACGCUGAGAGGUGGUGCAUGGCC
Molecule: ribosomal RNA, 537 nt
Filed under: uncultured archaeon
Lineage: Archaea
Description: bacterial SSU rRNA
Rfam family: Archaeal small subunit ribosomal RNA
Source: RNAcentral